RNAcentral lists this ribosomal RNA (206 nucleotides) under uncultured delta proteobacterium. RNAcentral describes it as "partial 16S ribosomal RNA". It matches the Rfam family "Bacterial small subunit ribosomal RNA", at positions 1179 to 1382 of the family's 1533-position model. The record is from RNAcentral. Lineage: Bacteria; Deltaproteobacteria.
AUGACGUCAAGUCCUCAUUGGCCUUUAUGUCCAGGGCUACACACGUGCUACAAUGGGCGGAACAAAGGGUUGCAAUACCGCAAGGUGGAGCUAAUCUCAAAAAACCGCUCUCAGUUCAGAUUGGAGUCUGCAACUCGACUCCAUGAAGGCGGAAUCGCUAGUAAUACGCGGAUCAGCAUGCCGCGGUGAAUACGUUCCCGGGCCUU